This is a long non-coding RNA of Gambusia affinis (western mosquitofish), 448 nucleotides long. RefSeq lists it as uncharacterized. Lineage: Eukaryota; Metazoa; Chordata; Actinopteri; Cyprinodontiformes; Poeciliidae. The record is from RefSeq and is a predicted model, not a curated record. The transcript has 4 exons.
CAGUAACCGCCCGGUCCAGGUUUGUGGCGUCUUGUCGCCAUAGCCAAUUGUUGUCAAGGUGAUCUGAAAGGUCAGAGUUACAUAGUCAGAUGCUUCCAGUGGGGAAGAUGGAGGCGCUGCCAGGGCCUGUCUGUGUCAUGUCACCCACUCUGCCUCCUGCUGCUGCGCCUGGAUAAACACAGACUGCUCUGGAUGGACUCUGGUUGACCACCCACAAUGACAGUGGAGAAACAGUUUUCCUGUAAUGCUUUUGUGCAGACUCGUACAUCUCUGAGGCUCUAUGUGGGCAAACUUCAGUGUCGAUGCCAGAAGCCUCUCAGGCCUACUUCACCUGGCAGCAGGACAAGACUGAAUUUAUUGAUCGGUCCGUUUCUUGUUUGUGUCUUGUCUGCUUCCACAUUUUCAGAGGAGGAUAUAGGAGGAAACAGUGCGGUGCGGCCAGCCGAGC